Molecule: transfer RNA, 73 nt
Filed under: Coleofasciculus sp. FACHB-125
Lineage: Bacteria; Bacillati; Cyanobacteriota; Cyanophyceae; Coleofasciculales; Coleofasciculaceae
Also listed under: 18 other names
Description: tRNA-Arg
Rfam family: tRNA
About the family: Transfer RNA (tRNA) molecules are approximately 80 nucleotides in length. Their secondary structure includes four short double-helical elements and three loops (D, anti-codon, and T loops).
Source: RNAcentral
GCCUCCAUAGCUCAGGGGAAAGAGCAGCACUCUUCUAAAGUGAUUGUCCUAGGUUCAAAUCCUAGUGGAGGCG